CGGAGGGUGCAAGCGUUGUCCGGAUUUAUUGGGUUUAAAGGGUGCGUAGGCGGGUCUUUAAGUCAGUGGUGAAAGCCGACAGCUCAACUGUCGAAAUGCCAUUGAUACUGGGGAUCUUGAGUACAGUAGAGGUAGGCGGAAUUAAUGGUGUAGCGGUGAAAUGCAUAGAUACCAUUAAGAACACCGAUUGCGAAGGCAGCUUACUAUAGUGUAACUGACGCUGAGGCACGAAAGUGUGGGGAUCAAACAGGAUUAGAUACCCUGGUAGUCCACACUGUAAACGAUGAUCACUCGCUGUUGGCGAUAGACAGCCAGCGGCUUAGCGAAAGCGAUAAGUGAUCCACCUGGGGAGUACGCUCGCAAGAGUG
RNAcentral lists this ribosomal RNA (368 nucleotides) under uncultured organism. RNAcentral's name for it is "bacterial SSU rRNA". It matches the Rfam family "Bacterial small subunit ribosomal RNA", at positions 526 to 896 of the family's 1533-position model. The record is from RNAcentral.